Long non-coding RNA from Oreochromis aureus, 1219 nucleotides. NCBI's taxonomy places the organism in Eukaryota, Metazoa, Chordata, Actinopteri, Cichliformes, Cichlidae. The record is from Ensembl.
UGUAUGGAGUUCAACACUGUCCUCUCAGAAACUGCAUUACUGGAUCCUAGUUUUAAAAAGCUUGUAUUCAGUGACAACAGAGCUGUUGAUGGGGCACUUCAGAGAAUAACUGCCACAGCAGCAAAAUGCACCACCCAGCUCCAGCAUUAGAGGGCCAAGUGGGGGAGGAGCCACAAAUUCCUGCUGUGUGGAGGCUCUUUGAUGAAAGAGCUACAGGAGAUGCUACAAAGAGAAAUACUACAGCUGAUGUUAUAAUGGAGAUGCGAUCUUGAGUACUCCUUCAUCCAACGUGGAGAAGACCUGCUGAGCUGGUGGCAGGCCAAGGCCACAGUCUUUCCACACCUGGUGAAGGUGAUAGAGGGAUGACUGUGAAUAGUGGCAACAUCUGUUCCUCCGGAGAGAGUCUUCUCAAAAAAAGGGCAGAUACUAACUGUCAUGGUCUGGGUGAGUGCUGGAUUUUUCCAUUGUGCUGGUGAGUCCACCUCUGGGUGGAGUGAGUAAUGUGAGUAAUUUGGCUGCCAGCUUUUAAGACCAGACUAACAAUGGCUAGCAGAUGAUCUGGCUAGGAGUGAUUGUGAGUGCUCUGCCAUCGUAGUUGAAGUUAACAUAUCAUAGUAUUGCUCGUACUCACCUGUUUACCCUCUCUGCUCACAGUAAUUCUCCGGACACCAUUCUCCAUCCUGCCAUAACUAACCUCUGUUCAGUUGCUGGUCUGUUCAGCAGCUUCACCGCUUUACUCACUUGCCUUCCUCCCUGCCCUGCUUCCUGGAAACACUUGAAUCUCUGCUCUGGACAAAUAUCACUCACGGCUCACCCAGACCACUUACCCUUCCACGCUUUGCCUCUGCCUGCGAAAAUGACUCCGAGAAUCCUGGCACCAUUCCCCUGUCUAGCCUCCCCCUUUAGUCCCACACCACAGGGUUCCUGUACUGGCUGUUACCCAGUAUUGGGUUCUCUAGCUCCUGCUCACGCCAGCCUAAGGGCUUGUUCUCUGGACUCUCUCAUAGCAUGCCGUGUGUUCACAGCUCAUAGUUCAUAGUUGUUUGUUUUUAUGAUAACAUUCAUGAUACUGUUCUAGUUAAUUGUACAUCAUAGUAUUGUUCUAGUUGGCUUUAUUGACUUUUAUUCAUAGUUCAUAUAACUCGCCAAGCUCCUGAGUGCAUAGUGUUGGGAAACAUUCUGUUGCACAUUUUCACUCCUUGUAAAUAAAGUCUUGCUC